Amphiprion ocellaris (clown anemonefish) is the source of this 768-nucleotide long non-coding RNA. The record is from Ensembl. Lineage: Eukaryota; Metazoa; Chordata; Actinopteri; Pomacentridae.
CAGUAAAGGCCUUUUUGUGCUUUCCACUAGUUCUCACUACUGUGUGUGUGUGUGUGUGUGUGUGUGUGUGUGUGUGUGUGUGUGUGUGUGUGUGUGUGUGUGUGUGUGUGUCUCUGUGUGUGUGUGUGUGUGUGUGUGUGUGUGUGUGUGUGUGUGUGUGUGUGUGUGUGUGUGUGUGUGUGUUGGACUGAGUUCACUUCCUGAGGGCAAUCGACGUUGAGACAAAUUGAAAACAGACGUUUCUCUCUUUCUGUGACUCAGUCUGUUGGUUUCCAUUCGUCGCUCGUCUGGAAUGAGACUGAAGAGAGGAGAAGAACAAGAAGAAGAAGGAGAAGAAGAAGAAGAAGAAGGAGAAGAAGGCGACAAAGCUGUCAAUCAUCUGAAGCUGAACCAAUCAUGAUGCAGAGGUGGAGCUACACUAUGGACGAGUGACAGACAGGAUGAAGCAGGCCUCUGAUUGGUCGAUCUCCCCGGGCAUGCGCUGCGGUUGGACGACUGUGAAAACAUUCAGGAGAGGAAUGUUCAGGCAGUAGUACUGUAGUACUGCAGUAUCAACGCAGUACAACUACACGAUUACUGUACUGUAGUACUGCAGUAUAAACACAGAGAAACUACCUGAUUACUGUACUGUAGUACUGCAGUGUAAAUGCAGUAAAACUACAUGAUUACUGUAGUACUGCAGUAUGAAUGCACUAAAACUACAUGAUUACUGUACGGUAGUACUGCAGUAUAAAUGCAAUAAAAGUACAUGAUUACUGUAGUACUGCA